AGAGUUUGAUCCUGGCUCAGGACGAACGCUGGCGGCGUGCCUAAUGCAUGCAAGUCGCACGCAGAGUGCUUGCACUCUGAGUGGCGCACGGCUGAGGAACACGUGGGCAUCUGCCCGACCGUGGGGGAUAACUCGGCGAAAGCCGCGCUAAUCCCGCAUACGCUCGCAAGCGGAAAGCAGCAAUGCGCGGUCGGAGGAGCCUGCGGCCCAUCAGGUAGUUGGCGGGGUAACGGCCCACCAAGCCGGUGACGGGUAGCUGGUCUGUGAGGACAACCAGCCAGACUGGGACUGAGACACGGCCCAGACUCCUACGGGAGGCAGCAGCAAGGAAUUUUCGGCAAUGGGGGCAACCCUGACCGAGCAACGCCGCGUGGAGGAUGACGGCCUUCGGGUUGUAAACUCCUUUUGCGGGGGACGACAUCGACUGUACCCCGCGAAUAAGGCUCGGCUAACUCUGUGCCAGCAGCCGCGGUAAUAC
This 478-nucleotide ribosomal RNA is filed under the name uncultured bacterium. RNAcentral's name for it is "bacterial SSU rRNA". It matches the Rfam family "Bacterial small subunit ribosomal RNA", at positions 8 to 526 of the family's 1533-position model. The record is from RNAcentral.